RNAcentral lists this RNase P RNA (389 nucleotides) under Amycolatopsis antarctica. Its description in RNAcentral is "Bacterial RNase P class A". It matches the Rfam family "Bacterial RNase P class A". Rfam says of the family: Ribonuclease P (RNase P) is a ubiquitous endoribonuclease, found in archaea, bacteria and eukarya as well as chloroplasts and mitochondria. The record is from Rfam by way of RNAcentral. Lineage: Bacteria; Bacillati; Actinomycetota; Actinomycetes; Pseudonocardiales; Pseudonocardiaceae.
CGAGUCGGCAGGGCGGUCGCGGCGUCACCUGGUGGCGUCGAGGAAAGUCCGGACUCCACAGGGCAGGGUGGUUGCUAACGGCAACCCGGGGCGACCCGCGGGACAGUGCCACAGAGAACAGACCGCCUGGCGUUCGCGCCAGGUAAGGGUGAAACGGUGGUGUAAGAGACCACCAGCAUCCCGGGUGACCGGGAUGGCUUGGUAAACCCCACCCGGAGCAAGGCCAAGAGGGAGCGCACGCUCCUGCGCAGGCGUUCGAGGACGGCCCGUCCGAGCCUGCGGGUAGGCCGCUGGAGCCUGCCGGCGACGGCAGGCCGAGAUGGAUGGCCGCCCAUCGCGUCGUCGAGGCGGCGUGGGGACAGGAUCCGGCUUACAUGCCGGCUCGUCCG